Molecule: ribosomal RNA, 464 nt
Filed under: uncultured bacterium
Lineage: Bacteria
Description: partial 16S ribosomal RNA
Rfam family: Bacterial small subunit ribosomal RNA
Source: RNAcentral
CUACGGGUUGCAGCAGUGGGGAAUAUUGCACAAUGGGCGCAAGCCUGAUGCAGCCAUGCCGCGUGUAUGAAGAAGGCCUUCGGGUUGUAAAGUACUUUCAGCGGGGAGGAAGGGAGUAAAGUUAAUACCUUUGCUCAUUGACGUUACCCGCAGAAGAAGCACCGGCUAAGUCCGUGCCAGCAGCCGCGGUAAUACGGAGGGUGCAAGCGUUAAUCGGAAUUACUGGACGUAAAGCGCACGCAGGCGGUUUGUUAAGUCAGAUGUGAAAUCCCCGGGCUCAACCUGGGAACUGCAUCUGAUACUGGCAAGCUUGAGUCUCGUAGAGGGGGGUAGAAUUCCAGGUGUAGCGGUGAAAUGCGUAGAGAUCUGGAGGAAUACCGGUGGCGAAGGCGGCCCCCUGGACGAAGACUGACGCUCAGGUGCGAAAGCGUGGGGAGCAAACAGGAUUAGAUACCCGAGUAGUC